Molecule: long non-coding RNA, 2927 nt
Filed under: Hordeum vulgare
Lineage: Eukaryota; Viridiplantae; Streptophyta; Magnoliopsida; Poales; Poaceae
Description: long non-coding RNA (HVUL_LNC006598)
Source: RNAcentral
UUUGAAUCAAAGAAGCCCGAACAAAAGCUGUGGGUCCAUUAGCAGUAUAUGGGUGGCAAAAAUUUCACGUGUUGAAAUACAUUUGCUGUGACUGAAUUCGCCCUACAAAAUAGCAAAUGUUUCCUGAACAAUUCCUAAAGACAGUGAAUCACAACUAAAUUAAACAACAACAACAAGAUCUCGAAACAAGUAGGGAUAGGCUAGAGCUGAAACCCAUACGAUCUCGAAACCAACUCAUGGUUCUUGAAUCACAUCUGAGAUGAAACAAAAGAAAGUAAAUAUUGUAACGUGGUAUAAAAUAACAUAUGCCUGCCAUUAGAAUAUGAUAUUUUAUAUAAAAAUAUAUAUAAUGAUGAUAUACUGCAGGAUACAUAUCGUACCAACGUGAGAGCUAGCAACAACAGAAGCAAAAUAAAAUCAAAAUGCAUCACCACACUGGCCAAUACACAUUGGAUGGAUAACGAUAAUAAAGUGUGCUAUGUCAGGUCAAUUUUGCUAAAAAAUCCGAAUGGGUAGGCACACACCACUUUUCUUUUGUAACAACAGUGUUAGAGUUCGAUGUGGACUAUGGACAUGCUGCUACCUGCCUUCCUAGCUGCACAAUGGGAACACAAUCCCCCAUAUGAUAAAGCAAGAUACAGAAUAUCCCUAUUACAAAACAGGGUAUGUUUCUAGGUAUUAAUCAUACCAUAUCCUUUCAAAUGGCUAGGUGCUGCGAAACUGAUACAAACAGCAGUCACAGAUAAGUCUCAGAAAAAUAAGUAGCAUUGGAGGUACCAACCAUUAAAGGAAUGGAACUAAGGCUAAUGUAGACGUAUGCCAUCCAGUUGCAAGGCUGUAAGUCUGCAAUUUCCAUAAAAAAAGGUAAAAGGUGCAUGCCAUCCAGUUGCAAGGCUGUAAGUCUGCAAUUUCCAUAAAAAAAGGUACAAGGUGCAAGGUGCAUCAGAGGAAAGCACUAGUGGAUACUAACCAUAACUGCCUCCCAGAAGGAACAUUCUUAUCGACGCUCCAUAUUGAUCAUAACUCCAGUAAAUAAAAGGAAUGCUCUUGACAAAGAGCAAAGAGAGUGCAAAAGAGUUGCAUGAAAGCCCAAUUUUGUCUAAUAAAAUAUGGUUUGUCUGACAACUUGGAGACUCAAACCGAGGAAGUCCCGGAUGUUAAACAGGUGCGCCAAACAGUAAUAAACACAAGCAAAUACUCUACCUUCUGAGUUGCUGAGUUACAUUGUAAAACGAGAAGCAAUAAUUCAACACGAAAAUAAGGUGAAUAAUAUAAAACUUAGCUGAUCAUUUCUAUGUCUAAUGACCUAAGCCAUUGCAUUGUUGGAUGCAUGGUACUCAACCUCUAGAUGAACUUGACUCAUAGCCAUGUGAAUUGUAUGCAUUUCGUCUACGUUUUUUCUUCUUCUGAUAGUUCGGUUGUAUACUAAUACACUGAAGCAUAACACACAUUAUCAAGGAAGCUAUUGAAGCUGGGGCUGAAUGCUCAAUAGAAUUUUAUAACUUCUCGACGAUACUACCAGAGCCUAAGACAAGUCUGUUAGUUGCAUAUCUCCCAAGCUUCCUGAAUACACCAUAUGGGUGGUGAGUGCUGACAUGCUGGUAUGGCAACGAAGAUAAGUAUGAGUACAGAGAAAUGUUACUGACUGAACGAAAACUGUAUAUCUCCACCUUAAAUUGGAUAUUACAAUAGAAGGGCAUAUUCGUCCUAAUAUUUCCUCCCUGACCGUUUCUUCACAAAACGCACCAAAUAUUCUUAAUUAUGUUCCAAAUAAUAUUCGUAUUCACAUUUAGCCCAAGAGAAAAUAGAAAGGGUGAAGGACAGCUGGCUGGGCCCAUAUAGGCCUAUGCUCGCAGCAAACGCGGCCACACGCAAAGAAGCCCUAGGGCUGCCCUUGCGCUUGACAGCCACCACCCAUGGGGCGGAUGCAGCGCCGCCAGGCCAGCGCCUCCACAAGAGCAGUUCCAUGAUGCCCUCUUCCACCAAAAGGGUUGCCAUCUUCCUACGCCGGCGGCCUGGCGCAUCGAUUCAGUGUUCCUUGUGCGUCUCGGCACCGCCGGCUGAUGAAUCACCAAGCCGCUCCUUCCGCCGAGGCAAGCGAAGCCACCUCUUCCUCAUGGCUUGCUGGGUUGGAGCGCCAUUGCUGUCGCAUGGAGCAGGCAUCGCCCGAUGGAUUAAGGAAGCGAUGUCAAGGAUUCUCCAAGGGCAGCAUCGAGGGUUCCCAGGUUAGAUCUGGCAUUGAUAGGGUUUGCUUAGGGUUUAUAGUUAUGGAUCUAAUGGCUUUCGUGGGGUUGGAUCCGGAUCUCUUUAGGGGGAGUAAGGGUGGGAUAUCAUGAUUUCUUAAUUUUGAAAGUCAAAGUUCCCCAAUACUCUUUGAUGCCAGCAUCUCCAGGUAUCGAACACACAUAUGGCAGUUUGGCAAAGUGGUGGGGCAUAAAGCCCAUGGAUAGUUACUGUCAUAUUGUAGAACCAGAAGUCAGAAGUUAGUCCACAACACAAAGGGCAGGUCCUAGAAUGUAUUGUGGAUGUGCUAGAUUAUAAUUUCUUCUAAAAAAAUUCACUUCAUGAUUUUUUGGGGGGCACUUCAGGAGGUAUUGAACCACGAAACAUAGGGAGGUAUCAAAGAGUGAUAUGAGAAAAAAAAAUUGGAAGUCAAAGUUCCCCAUAGCCCCCAACGUGUGUAUUCCCAGGUAUUGGACACACAUAUGGCAGUUUGACAGAGUGAUGAGGGUGGUUACUGUCAUACUGUAGAACCAGAACUCAGGAGUUAGUACAUGACACAUAAGGAAGGUCCUGGAAUAGGUUGUGGAUGUCCUAUGUUAGAAUUUGUUGUAUAUAGCACAUUUCGGAAAUAUUUUUCCUGAAUAAGGCAUUACCGAUAUUCUUCAUCUGAGCAAAUUGCCUUCGGUAGCUUCACAGCCAAUUGC